CCUACGGGAGGCAGCAGUCGAGAAUUAUUCACAAUGGGGGAAACCCUGGUGGUGCGACGCCGCGUGGGGGAAUGAAGGUCUUCGGAUUGUAAACCCCUGUCAUGUGGGAGCAGAUUAAAAAGAUAGUACCACAAGAGGAAGAGACGGCUAACUCUGUGCCAGCAGCCGCGGUAAUACAGAGGUCUCAAGCGUUGUUCGGAAUCACUGGGCGUAAAGCGUGCGUAGGCUGUUUCGUAAGUCGUGUGUGAAAGGCGCGGGCUCAACCCGCGGACGGCACAUGAUACUGCGAGACUAGAGUAAUGGAGGGGGAACCGGAAUUCUCGGUGUAGCAGUGAAAUGCGUAGAUAUCGAGAGGAACACUCGUGGCGAAGGCGGGUUCCUGGACAUUAACUGACGCUGAGGCACGAAGGCCAGGGGAGCGAAAGGGAUUAGAUACCCGAGUAGUC
RNAcentral lists this ribosomal RNA (446 nucleotides) under uncultured bacterium. RNAcentral's name for it is "partial 16S ribosomal RNA". It matches the Rfam family "Bacterial small subunit ribosomal RNA", at positions 338 to 795 of the family's 1533-position model. The record is from RNAcentral.